RNAcentral lists this ribosomal RNA (464 nucleotides) under uncultured bacterium. Its description in RNAcentral is "partial 16S ribosomal RNA". It matches the Rfam family "Bacterial small subunit ribosomal RNA", at positions 28 to 506 of the family's 1533-position model. The record is from RNAcentral.
GACGAACGCUGGCGGCGUGCUUAACACAUGCAAGUCGAACGGAAAGGCCCUGCUUGCAGGGUACUCGAGUGGCGAACGGGUGAGUAACACGUGGGUGAUCUGCCCUGCACUUCGGGAUAAGCCUGGGAAACUGGGUCUAAUACCGGAUAGGAGCCAUUUUUAGUGUGAUGGUUGGAAAGUUUUUUCGGUGUAGGAUGAGCUCGCGGCCUAUCAGCUUGUUGGUGGGGUAAUGGCCUACCAAGGCGGCGACGGGUAGCCGGCCUGAGAGGGUGGACGGCCAAAUUGGGACUGAGAUACGGCCCAGACUCCUAGGGGGGGCAGCAGUGGGGAAUAUUGCACAAGGGGCGCAAGCCUGAUGCAGCGACGCCGGGUGGGGGAUGACGGCCUUCGGGUUGUAAACCCCUUUCGCUAGGGACGAAGCUUUUUGGGACGGUACCUAGAUAAGAAGCACCGGCUAACUACGU